UACAGAGGAGCCAAGCGUUGUCCGGAUUGACUGGGCGUAAAGCGCACGCAGGCGGACGCGCGCGUGGGGUGUGAAAUCUGGCCGCUUAACGGCCAGGCGCCAUCCCAUACGGCGCGUCUGGAGCAAUGCAGAGGUCGGUGGAAUUGCCGGUGUAGUGGUGAAAUGCGUAGAGAUCGGGAGGAACACCAGUGGCGAAGGCGGCGAUCUGGGAACACACUGACGCUGAGGUGCGAAAGCGUGGGGAGCAAACAGG
Molecule: ribosomal RNA, 253 nt
Filed under: uncultured bacterium
Lineage: Bacteria
Description: partial 16S ribosomal RNA
Rfam family: Bacterial small subunit ribosomal RNA
Source: RNAcentral